ACACAAUGACACAGAUCCCAAAGGCGAGCAGUUAACAAAUACAUCCACUUGUCCACCAAUCACAAGGGAUCCAUUGAGUGAGCCACUGCAACAAACAGGAACCCCUUCAAAGAGCUUCCAGUCUGGUGGGACCAACUACAUAAUCCUUGGUAAGAAAAGGAGGUGGCCCUGACAAGUGCAACUCGAGAAAUGCAAUGCUGUAGAGUCCAAAGGUGUCUGACUUGAACGAAAUGAUCCCACUGGGGGACAAUGCAACAUAUACUCCAGGUAAGCAUAGUGGAAAACAUAUUGGACUUAGAUUCAAACACACCUGAACCUGUAACUUAUGAGCCAGGUGACCUUGGGGGUGAACUGGAACUUACACCUUGCUUCUCCUGUUCUCAGGAGACUUGGACUGGAACUAUACCACCAGCUGUCUCGGAUCUCCGGCUUGCAGACGGCACAUCAUGGGACUUCUCAGUCUCCAUCACUGCAUGAGCCAAUUCCUUAUAAUAAAUCUCUGUCUCUCUCAUUAUACAUAUCUUGGAGAACCCUCAGGAACCUUGACUAAUACACAAGAUAAAUUCAGUUUUAAUUGUAUGUGAGGCAUUGUGGUGGAGAUAUAUACUAGAUACCCACACGCAAGUGGGCAAAGGUCUGGGAUCAAAAUAUCUAUUUGGGAAUCUUCAGCAUAUGGGUGAUAGUUGAAAUCAUAAAAGUGGUUGAACUCUUCUGGGACUCUCAUAUAUUGUAAUAGGAUGAACGGCAGAAAGAACAGAUACAGAUACAUGUAGGUUGGUUAAUCUGAUGGUUGGAAUGUGGACUUCGUAUUCGAUGUACUUGGUGUGUGUGUCUUUGUUUAUAAUGAAGUCAAUUACUCAGUAAUGUGCAUAUAAUAAAUUCCGUAGUGUGUGUGGUUCAGUCACUCUACUAGUUUUUAAAACUGUUCCGCUAAAGCUCUCAGUUGAAAGAACCCAUGGUGGUGUUGUUAUACAUAAAUAUCUUUACUUGAUAGACCUCAUUGACUACAGUCAGGAUUCUGGUAGAUAAAUUGGGCAGAUGAGAUGACCUCCCAACCCUUCUCUGGUGCUUUCUGAAUAAGGCCUGUGUUUGUCUGGCUGUACCAUACAUUUUAUUUUCUCUUUCAUUCAUUUCUAAGCCUCAGCAACAACCCCCUUCUCCAACACCUUGAUAUAAAUUGCCUUCAAACUCUAAUAGAACUUGAGAAUGUUGAUAACCUCAAACUAUGGUAUCCUGAUGUUUCCAUAGUAACUAAUGCACACCAAGGGGGAAAAGAUGCGAGAAUAAAUGAGAAUAGCAUUUUAACAAAAUAAGUGAGGGGCAAAGAGGCUUUAGACAUGUUAUUACCUCUUGUUUAGGAAUAUGAAAAUAUUCAUCUCCUUAAUAAUGGGGUUAUAAAAGUUGCUACAAUGAGACUUGUCAGUAGCCAUUUAUAUUUCAUUUUUCUCUAUAAUCAUCAUCAUCAAAAGCAUUUAAAUGCUUCUCUGCCCAACAAUACUGUAGAGAGUGAGUUAAAUGGACAUAGUUGCCAUUUUCCUGUGAACCUGCAAUCACAAUAGGACAGGGUAGGCCAAUGUCUGUAUUCCAGUCUCCCCAGCAGAGUUUUGACCUAGUGGAUAUUAGGAGGAAUGGGGAUUCAAAGAAGACAAAUCAGUGUUGUGGCAUUUGUUUGCUUUGAUACAAGACUUUACUAGCAUCUCAGCACUUCCUUGGUUAAAGGGUGGGAGAAUAGGGUGCUGCUGUUUCUUCUUUCCUAUUUCAUAAAAAGGAGGCUUUCUGUAAGCCAGGAAGAGAGCACUCUCAAGUAAUCAAAUUGGCUGGCACCUUGAUCUGGGACUUCCAGUCUCCAGAACUCUGAGAAAAUACAUUUGCGUUGUUUAAGCCAGUGAGUCUGUGGUAUUUUGUUAUGGCAGCCUGAGCAGCCUAUACACCGGUCAGUGUACAUGCACAACCGAUUAAGCUAUUGUUAGAUAGGAAUAGAUUUAGUAAGGGUGAAGAGAAGACUUUUUAUUUUAUGUAUUUGUUUGAGACAGAGUCUCUCUGUCAUCCAGGAUGGAGUGCAGUGGUGUGAUCAUGGCUCACAUCAGCCUUGACCUUCCAGGCUCAAGUGAUCCUCCCACCUCAGUCUCCUGAGUAGCUGGGACCACAGGCAUGUGCCACCAUGCCUGGCAAAUUUUUGUAUUCUUUGUAGAGAUGGGGUUUCACCAUGUUGCCCAGGCUGGUCUUGAACUCCCUCUUGCCUUGACCUCCUAAAGUGUUGGGAUUAUAGGUGUGAGCCACCAUGCCCGGCCUAAUAUUUUUAUUUUAGAAUUAGAGAGAUUAGGCCAGGCACAGUGGCUCACGCCUGUAAUCCCAGUACUUUGAGAGGCCGAGGUGGGUGGAUCACUUGAGGUCAGGAGUUCGAGACCAGCCUGACCAACAUGGUGAAACCCUGUCUCUACUAAAAAUACAAAAAUUAGCCAGGUGUGGUGGUACGUGCCUGUAAUCCCAGCUACUCAGGAGGCUGAGGCAGAAGAAUUGCUUGAACCCGGGAGGUGGAGGUUGCAGUGAGCCGAGAUCACGCUAUUGCAUUCCAGCCUGGAUGACAGAGUGAGACUCUGUCUCAAAAAAAAAAAAAAAAAAUUAGAGAGAUUAAAUUUCCACAGAUAAGUGUAAUAACUGGUGGGGUAUCUAUCUAACCCAGAACAGAAACACAGAAAGUAGAGGGACAGAAAGUAUACUGAACAGCUCCAGGUAAGGUAGAUAGCAUGGCUGGGAUUCCGCUUAACCUGAUACUUUCCCCAUUUAGAAGAGAAAGGUUAAAAAGCACAUUCUUCUUCUUUGUCUUCUUUUUUUUUUCAUACUCAUAUCACCUUUUGAAAAUUAGUCUUCAGUUUAGCUUUUGUGCAAUGAAUUCAGAGGUUAGAAGCAAGAUGUUUUGGGAGGUAGGGUGAGGCUCAUCAGUGAGAAUGAAAGCCAAUUUCCUAGACUUGCCUGGGGAAGGUAUAUUAGAACGGGGGCCAUUUGUUCUCAAUGUUCAACUCCCACUUAUGAGUGAGAACAUGCAGUGUUUGGUUUUCUUUUCCUGUGUUAGUUUGCUGAAGAUGAUGGCUUCCAGCUUCAUUCAUAUCCCAGCCAAGGACAUGAUCUCAUUCCUUUUUAUGGCUGCGUAGUAUUCCAUGGUGUAUAUGUACCACAUUUUCUUUAUCCAGUCUAUAAUUGAUGGGCAUUUGGGUUGGUUCCACAAACCUGCACGUUCUGCACAUGUAUCCCAUUUUUUUUUAGAAGAAAUAAAGAAAAAAGAAAAGAAAAGAAAAAAAAGAAUGGGGACCAUUUAUCUUGGAUGGCCAGAGGUUUGGUAGACAUCCUCAAGUUUAGACAGGCCUUAGAGUUCAGAUGAAAAAGGAGUGUAUCUUCAUAUUAGAGGCUCAGUUUGGACAAGGGAAAUUUCAGUGUGUGUGUGUGUGUGUGUGUGUGUGUUUAAAAUUUGUGAAAUUUGAUCUUACAGUCACUGGGAGAAGGCAGAAAUUUUGAGGAAAAGGAGUCCUCAAUAAAGC
This 3536-nucleotide long non-coding RNA is filed under the name Homo sapiens (human). RNAcentral describes it as "non-protein coding lnc-ZDHHC9-1:3". Lineage: Eukaryota; Metazoa; Chordata; Mammalia; Primates; Hominidae. The record is from RNAcentral.